Molecule: RNA transcript, 2016 nt
Organism: Gordionus sp. m RMFG-2023
Lineage: Eukaryota; Metazoa; Nematomorpha; Gordioida; Chordodea; Parachordodidae
Gene name: electrogenic aspartate/glutamate antiporter SLC25A13, mitochondrial-like
Exons: 8
Source: RefSeq, a predicted model, not a curated record
CGGAAACGUUUGCACAAUUUAGCACGUGCUGCUGGUGCAUUUUUUAAAUAUGAUGUACUUAAAAUGGUUCGAAUUUACAUUGAUUCAAAAAAUCCAGCUUAUCUAUUCAUCAAGAUACCUAAAAUCCUGCCCUGCCAAGAUUAAAAAUUUGUAAGACGAUAUUAUAUUUGAAAAUAUAAACUCCUAUGGCUUCACUAAAAGAUGAAACCCAACAUUCGACUUCAAAUUUAAAAACUAUUAUCCAAAAUUCUUAUAGAUUUUUACUUGGUAGUAUAGCUGGUGCUGUAGGAGCCACAGCUGUUUAUCCUUUUGAUAUGAUAAAAACUAGGUUACAAAAUCAAAAGCAAAUAAUAAAUUUUAAUGGCAAAGAUGAUAUAUUUAAAGAUUCAAAACUCCACAAAACACCUUAUACUGACCUUAUUAAUAAUAUUGGCAAAAAUCUUAACAAAGAUAUAAAAAUAACAAGGAAUAAUAUAUCUAUAGAAAAAAGUAAAACUUAUUACAAGAAUUCAUUUGAUUGCUUGGUGAAGAUAAUAAAAUAUGAAAAAGUUAGAGGACUUUACAGAGGCAUAGGCCCUGUACUGAUUGGAGUUGCUCCAGAAAAAGCUAUCAAAUUAACGGUGAACGAUUUUGUGAAGGACAAGUUUAUCUUGCAUUACCGAAAAAGGUUGCCCCUAUGGAGCGAAAUAGUAUCUGGCGGAUGCGCCGGAGCCUCUCAGGUAAUUUUUACAAACCCGAUGGAGAUAGUGAAAAUACGAUUACAAAUCUCUAAUUUAAAUGCCCUCGAAAGCGAACAUGCAACUACCUCAUCGACCUCUAAAUCCAAAGUUCCAAGCAAAACGGCCUUUGGUAUCGUGAAAGAGUUGGGCUUUCGUCGGUUAUACACGGGUGCCCACGCAUGUCUCAUGCGUGAUUUACCGUUUAGUGCCAUCUACUUCCCAACUUAUGCCCAUUUGAAAAUUUAUUUCUGUUCUAUUGGAGAGAUCUCAAACGUGCGCAAAGGCCAUGCUUCUAAAUCAACAAAACUUGCUAACGAAUCGAAGGAUCUAGAUAUUUUGAAUACCAAAAAUGGUCAACUUGAUAACGACAAAACUCUCGCAGACCAUAAAAACGAAACACCAUUAAACCUCCUAUACGAGGAUGAAGAACAAAUUUGCAGUGCGCCAAAGGCCCACAACCACGUAGGCAUGUUAUGGGCCGCAACUUUGGCCGGGAUACCUGCGGCUGCCUUGGUUACCCCCGCGGAUGUCGUCAAAACACGUUUGCAAGUCGAAAGGAAGGUUAAUUUAUUGCAAAAUUUAGAAGUAGGUUUCAAAGGAAUCUCAAACGGAAAUAAUAAUUUCGGAGUAAUAAACACUUUUGCCAGCAUCGUCAAGAACGAAGGCUUUGGAGCCCUCUGGAAAGGAACUUUUGCCAGAGUAUGUAGAUCUUCCCCUCAAUUCGGUGUUACUUUAUUCACCUACGAGUUCCUGCAAAAUACGUUCGACAUCAAAUAUUAGAGGAAGAAGAGAGAAGGAGCAAAUCCCAGGAGCAUAUUUCAUGCUUUAACUUUUAAAAUUCUUUCUCGCCAUUCUAUUCCUUUCCAAUAAUUUUAUUAUCAGCUUGAUAUUGAUGAUGUCGUUUCUAUCUGUUUUCAACUCCUAAUUACGAUUCAAAAAUUUCUUUAAGAUUUUCUUACCCCUAUCAAUACUUAUUAAUAUUCAUUAGAGAAUGAAUUCUUAAUUAACGAAUUUCGAUAAAUAAGUUGUUUGUAAUUUAUAACAUCCUCCCCAAUUCAAUUUUUUUAAAAUUGUAUAUUACAACAUACUAUAUAAUUUAUUUUAACUAUAUUAUAAAUUGAGAAUUUGGGGAAAAUUAUAAUAGUAAGCCAUGCUAAUUAUGUUUUUCAGGGUACACAAACCCAUUAUUUUAAGUACAUAUGCGUAUAUAUAUAUAUAUAUUGAUGCCCAAAUUAAUUGGAUUGUACAUAUAUAUUUUUAAAUGAACUUAAAAAAUUUAAAACACCAUUUCUUCCAU